GACGAACGCUGGCGGCGUGCUUAACACAUGCAAGUCGAACGGAGUGUCGAACGGGUGAGUAACACGUCGGUGAUCUGCCUUGCACUUCGGGAUAAGCUUGGGAAACUGGUUCUAAUACCGGCUUUUGCAAGAUGAGCUCGCGGCCUAUCUGCUUGGUGGUGGGGUAAUGGCCUACCAAGGGGUCGACGGGUAGCCGGCCUGUGAGGGUGUACGGGAACAUUGGGACUGCGAUACGGCGCAGACGCCAACGGGGGGCAGCGGUGGGGAAUAUUGCACAAUGGGCGGAAGCCUGAGGCAGCGACGCUGCGUGGGGGAUGAAGGCCUUCGGGGGGUAAACUCCGUUCGACAGGGACGCGGUACCUGUAGAAGAAGCACCGGCUAACUACGUGCCAGCAGCCGCGGUAAUUC
This 408-nucleotide ribosomal RNA is filed under the name uncultured bacterium. RNAcentral's name for it is "partial 16S ribosomal RNA". It matches the Rfam family "Bacterial small subunit ribosomal RNA", at positions 28 to 526 of the family's 1533-position model. The record is from RNAcentral.